UCUUGUAAAUGAACCCUCCACAGCAGAAUAGUGUUGAGGCAACUAAUACUAUGCACGAUAAUACUCCAAAUAUGGCCCAUCCUCCUGCAGCACCUCCACCUUCGCUUUGCUGAUAUUCACACAUCUUUGUGAGGGUGAACUGAACAGGAUCAUAGUUUUCUAUAGGAAUGGUGACCUCAACUUCAUAUGGGUUAUCACGAGCAACAUCACAUCUCCAGUCAAUCAGUAAUGAUGUUGGUGACAAAGUUG
Molecule: unclassified non-coding RNA, 249 nt
Filed under: Hevea brasiliensis (rubber tree)
Lineage: Eukaryota; Viridiplantae; Streptophyta; Magnoliopsida; Malpighiales; Euphorbiaceae
Source: RNAcentral